This 497-nucleotide ribosomal RNA is filed under the name uncultured bacterium. RNAcentral's name for it is "partial 16S ribosomal RNA". It matches the Rfam family "Bacterial small subunit ribosomal RNA", at positions 28 to 507 of the family's 1533-position model. The record is from RNAcentral.
GAUGAACGCUGGCGGCGUGCCUAAUACAUGCAAGUCGAGCGAACAGACGAGGAGCUUGCUCCUCUGACGUUAGCGGCGGACGGGUGAGUAACACGUGGAUAACCUACCUAUAAGACUGGGAUAACUUCGGGAAACCGGAGCUAAUACCGGAUAAUAUAUUGAACCGCAUGGUUCAAUAGUGAAAGACGGUUUUGCUGUCACUUAUAGAUGGAUCCGCGCCGCAUUAGCUAGUUGGUAAGGUAACGGCUUACCAAGGCAACGAUGCGUAGCCGACCUGAGAGGGUGAUCGGCCACACUGGAACUGAGACACGGUCCAGACUCCUACGGGAGGCAGCAGUAGGGAAUCUUCCGCAAAGGGCGAAAGCCUGACGGAGCAACGCCGCGUGAGUGAUGAAGGUCUUCGGAUCGUAAAACUCUGUUAUUAGGGAAGAACAAAUGUGUAAAUAACUAUGCACGUCUUGACGGUACCUAAUCAGAAAGCCACGGCUAACUACGUG